GCCUCGGCCGUGUAGUGGUUAGAGCACGCUUCCUCGGAUAGGAUGAAUCGUGGGUUUGAUUCCCGCCUGAGGCC
Non-coding RNA from Parelaphostrongylus tenuis, 74 nucleotides. The record is from the annotation of a GenBank genome assembly. Lineage: Eukaryota; Metazoa; Nematoda; Chromadorea; Rhabditida; Metastrongylidae.